This 76-nucleotide transfer RNA is filed under the name Ottowia sp. RNAcentral describes it as "tRNA-Thr". It matches the Rfam family "tRNA". From Rfam's summary of the family: Transfer RNA (tRNA) molecules are approximately 80 nucleotides in length. Their secondary structure includes four short double-helical elements and three loops (D, anti-codon, and T loops). Further hydrogen bonds mediate the characteristic L-shaped molecular structure. tRNAs have two regions of fundamental functional importance: the anti-codon, which is responsible for specific mRNA codon recognition, and the 3' end, to which the tRNAs corresponding amino acid is attached (by aminoacyl-tRNA synthetases). tRNAs cope with the degeneracy of the genetic code in two manners: having more than one tRNA (with a specific anti-codon) for a particular amino acid; and 'wobble' base-pairing, i.e. permitting non-standard base-pairing at the 3rd anti-codon position. RNAcentral also lists the same sequence under 2 other names. The record is from RNAcentral. Lineage: Bacteria; Pseudomonadati; Pseudomonadota; Betaproteobacteria; Burkholderiales; Comamonadaceae.
GCCCGGGUGGCGCAACUGGCAGCGCAAUCGAUUUGUAAUCGAUAGGUUAGGGGUUCGAGUCCCCUCCUGGGCUCCA